Molecule: long non-coding RNA, 817 nt
Filed under: Glycine max (soybean)
Lineage: Eukaryota; Viridiplantae; Streptophyta; Magnoliopsida; Fabales; Fabaceae
Description: long non-coding RNA (GMAX_LNC003812)
Source: RNAcentral
UAUUUGCUUGUGGACUUCACAAUGGAUCCUCCAUCUGGGGUUGCCACCAGUUUGUACUCAUAACAUAUCUUCUCCAAUGGCUCCGACAAUGCACUGCCUUCAAUCACACUAUAGUUGUACACAUAGUUUUCUGUGUCAAUUGCAUCUACGUGGUGCUUCACAUAACCUAAACCUGUUCACAUUUCACACGUACACACACAUAUAUAUAUAUAUACACACAUGGAAUGAGUUAUAUUAACGAGUGUAAAUACAAGCACAAUGAAACCACCAUGAAUGCUUCGGAAGAGAAAUCUAUUAAUUAAGAGUAACGUUAUAUCCUCCGACUAUAUAUAUCUUAGUAUAAAAAAGUAUUAAAUGAAAAAAAAUAAAGUAUAUUUAAUGUCUUCUAAAUAUAGAACACAUAUUUAAUAUUUAUUUACUAUACAAAGGAAGUAGAAAUAUCGUUGAAGGAUUUAAAAUUAUUGUAUCUCUUAAUUGUUCCAUAAAUGGUUAAAAUUAAUUACUAAUAUUUACCUUCAGCAAGAGUAAGCUUCUUAAUGGUUCCUGGCCCUCCAUCUCCUUCAAUGGUUUCUACGCUCUUAAUGAAAUUUGGCAAUGCUUUUGGGAAGACAUUGCUGGCAUCUAGGACAAUAGCUUUGUAUAAUUUUGCAGCAGAGACGGGGGAAACGUGUUCGCUUUCAGAAGUGAAAACACCCAUGAUUUUUUUUACCCAAGAUAAAAAAAUAAAAAUAAAACUAAAAGAAAGGAUGAGAUAGAAGAAAAUAUUUUGCUCUCUUAGGGUGUGAGUUUAUGGAUUUUGGUAUUGCCUUAAUUUAUA